AUCAACUUUCGAUUGGUAGGAUAGAGGCCUACCAUGGUGGUAACGGGUAACGGGGUGUUAGGGCACGACACCGGAGAGGGAGCCUGAGAAACGGCUACCACAUCCAAGGAUGGCAGCAGGCGCGCAAAUUACCCAAUCCCGACACGGGGAGGUAGUGACAAUAAAUAACAAUACGGGGUUCUUUCGGAUCUCGUAAUUGGAAUGAGUACAAUUUAAAUCUCUUAACGAGGAACAAUUGGAGGGCAAGUCUGGUGCCAGCAGCCGCGGUAAUUCCAGCUCCAAUAGCGUAUAUUAAAGUUGUUGCAGUUAAAAAGCUCGUAGUUGAAUUUCGGGGUUAGUAGGUUGGUCAUGCCUCUGGUAUGUACUGGUCUCACUGAUUCCUCCUUCCUUAUGAACCGUAAUGCCAUUAAUUUGGUGUUGCGGGGAAUUUGGACUGUUACUUUGAAAAGAUUAGAGUGUUUAAAGCAGGCUAACGCUUGAAUACAUUAGCAUGGAAUAAUGAAAUAGGACGUUCGAUCUUAUUUUGUUGGUUUCUAGGAUUGACGUAAUGAUUAAUAGGGAUAGUUGGGGGCAUUAGUAUUCAAUUGUCAGAGGUGAAAUUCUUGGAUUUAUUGAAGACUAACUACUGCGAAAGCAUUUGCCAAGGAUGUUUUCAUUAAUCAAGAACGAAAGUUAGGGGAUCGAAGACGAUCAGAUACCGUCGUAGUCUUAACCAUAAACUAUGCCGACUAGGGAUCGGAUGAUGUUAAUUUUUUAAUGACUCAUUCGGCGCCUUACGGGAAACCAAAGUGUUUGGGUUC
RNAcentral lists this ribosomal RNA (800 nucleotides) under uncultured Glomus. Its description in RNAcentral is "SSU rRNA". It matches the Rfam family "Eukaryotic small subunit ribosomal RNA", at positions 314 to 1114 of the family's 1831-position model. Lineage: Eukaryota; Fungi; Glomeromycota; Glomeromycetes; Glomerales; Glomeraceae. The record is from RNAcentral.